CCCACUUUGCCGCACCACCAUACACCUCCCUUACCCUUUGCCGAACCACCAUAUCAUCCCAAAUCCAUCCCUAAACCGAAAAUCACAUCCAAACAGCCCCUAAAACCCUCACUGCCGCAGCAAGGAGAAGAAGAAAGAGGAGCUUUCUGUGCAGAUUUCAAAGUGGACUUCUUUGGCAUUUUAGGUGUAAUCUUUCUUAUGUCUUCGAUGUUUCAAUUCAAUAAACUUUGUGUUGUGAGUAUGAGGAACUAAACCCCCUUAGUUGGGGGGUGAUUCGAAACCAUGUACAUGCUUGCAAUUUGAUUCGAUUACAUUCAGUUGUUAUUUCAUAAGUUAUGGAUUCAAUUCGUUCAUCUAUUUGAUUGAUAAACUUAUUUGUGUAUGUUGAUUGAGAGUGCACGCUUAGUUUUCAUGCAUGAAUAUGAUGCUAGAUUAUGAGGGAGUUUCACCUAAUAGUUACAAUCUUAUAAUCACAAGUAGUGAAGAUCGCUUGAAAACGAUCGCGUUGAAUGAAUUCUUAGCAUAAGUUUUCAUGCAAUUCAUAGUAACAAAUGCUUCGUCAAUGCUUAUGUUUUUCAUAGAACGUAAUGAUUCUUGCUUGUAUCUCUAUUAUGCAAUUCAUGUAGGGAACUUGUAGGGAAUGUUUUGGGUUGUCGUAUGCAAUCAUCCAACUUAAUAACUUGUGGAAAAACUGAGGGUUAAUUAGUGCAAUUCACGGUUAACUUGGGGCGUUGAGUAUUCAUAGUUUAUCGGAAGAACAACUGAAAAUCGUUUUGUUUGCAAGUGUGACAUGUGUGGAGAAGAACCUCCUAACUAGCCUUUUAUCCAUCCUUUUUCACCAAAAAUCGUUUUUACAAUCUGUUUUAGUUUUAAGUUUCUGUUUUCUGUUAAAUUUUUCGUCCAAAACAAAUCCCCCUUUAAUUUUGAAGUCUUAGAUUAGUUAGAAAGUGUUUUGAUUUGUGUUCUAAGUAUUUUGACUCAAGUUUUCAUCAAAUUUCGUCCAAAUUAGUGUAGGUGCUCAAAACUGCCCAGAAAGUGGUUUUUAGGCAGUUUUGAGCCUUCUAGUUGCUGUUUUGAGUUUUAGGUUUGUUUAAGUGUUUUAACCUUUAGUUUUGCAUUCUUUGAGUCUAGUUUAGUGUUUUAAACUUUGUUUUUAUGUUUUUAAGUCAGUUUUCAAGUGUUUAGCAAUCCCUCCUAAUCCCCGGUCUAGAACGAUCCCUACUUACAUCUUUACUACAAUUUGACAAAAAGAGGGUUUAAUUUGUGUGCUUAUCUAUUUCGCAUCAGUGUCCACCUUUGCCUGGGUGGGCUUGUGUCCUCCUCUUCUAAUUGUAGUUUUUUAUCUUCUUUGAGGCCUGAUGUAGAUGGUUUAGGAUCUGCCCCAACUUCUUUUCCACUUCUCAACAAUAUGGCUUUUGCACUUUCGAAACCUCCUUUUGGAUUUGGAAUGGUAGAACUAGGAAGUUGGCCUGGGUCUCGAAAUUUGCUCACAAAGUCUGCAAUCUGCCCAAUUUGUUUCUCCAAUUGAUCCACCCUUUUGUCUUGGCUUUGUAUAGCUUUGGUUUGAUUUUCUUGCCCCUGAGACAAGUUAGUUAGUAACUUAAGGAGUGUAUCAUUGUCUAGAGAUGUACCUGAAGCAUUUGGGGCAGAUUGUUGUGGAACAUCUGGGGGUGCGUUUGGCUUGGUGAAAAACCCCGGGGGUUGUUGCCUAAAGCCUCCCUGUUGUUGGGGUUGUUGGGCCUCCCUCCACUUGAAGUUUGGAUGGUCUCUCCAACCUGGAUUGUAUGUAUUUGAAUAUGGAUCGUUCCUUGGUUGGUUUUGGCCUUGAAAUCCAAUUGCGUUAGCGCUCUCCCAUCCACCGUUCUCAAUGAGUUGAGGGCACUUUUCCGAGGCAUGUCCUUGGAUAGAACAUACGCCACACACCAUUGGCCCUUGCAUCCUCAUUCCUUCAGCCAUCUGAGACAUAAUGGAAGUAAGAUUAGCUAACUGUGAAUGAAUGUCAGAUGUGGAACUUACCUCAUGCACUUGUUGCCUGAUGUGAAAAAUAUGUUGACACACAAAUUAAACCCUAUUGAUGACAAUUGUAGUAAUGAUGCAAGUAGGGAUCGUUCUAGACCGGGGAUUAACUAGGGAUGCUAAUCAACACAAAUAAGACUCAAAACCACUAAACUAGACUCUAUAGACUCAAAACUAACUUAAAACACUAAAAACAGCAAGAAACAAUAAAAAAGACUCAAUUCUAGACCUAGCAAGUGAUUUGGACGAAAAUAGAACUUCAAAGACUCAAAAGACUUAAAGAAAACACGUUUUGACUCUAAAAACAAGACUUAAAAGCAAGGGGGUUGAUUUGGACGAAUUUAACUUUUAAAACAAAAACUUUGAAAACAAACUUGACAAAAACGAUUUUGAUGUAGAUUAAGAUGGUGAAAGGCUAGUUAGAAGGUUCCUUCUCCACACAUGAAACAUAUGUAUACGACUCGAUUUCCAGUUACUCUUUCAACAAACCAUGAAUGACAAUGCCCCAAAUUAACUAGAUUGCACCAAUUAAUUCUCAGAUUUCCCUAGAUUCAUUGAAUUGAAUGGAAUACGCAUUACAACCAAAUUAUUCUUAUCAAAGACCCUAACUAUGGAAUACGCAUGAUAGAGACACAUAUCAAAGAUCAUAAGUUCAAUGGACAUCAUAAGCAUUGACGAGGCAUUCAUAACUAUGGGAUACGCAUGUUACUCUUGCCAAGGAUUUACUUAACACAAUCGUGACUAGCGACUUUUACUACUUAUGAAUAUAAGUUAAUAACGAUUAGGUGAAAUUCCCUUAUACUCUAGCAUCAAAUUCAUGCAUGCAAACUAAGUAUGCAUCCUUAAUUAACAUACAUAAACAUGUUAUCAAUCAAAUAGAUAAGUAAACUGAUAGGAGCAUAUUUAUGCGCCUUAGUUAGCUAGUUCUUAUGCAUCUUUGUUAUGUUUUCUUCGUUAAAGUAGUCUUUUAAGCUACUUUCAUGUGUUUUCAGGUUUAAAGGACAUAUUACAUGAAAUGAUGCAAUUUGGAGCUUUUGUUGCAAAAUGUGAGCUUGGAUUGAAAAGGACAUGCUUGGAACACAAGGUUGGGAUGGAAUUGAAGAGUUGAAGAUUUGAGGUUUCCUACUCGAAGUAGGAAAGCUAAGCCUAAAAGUUUCCAUUUUGGGUUGAUCUUUCCUAAAUCGGAAUUGGCAACCAAAGUUUCUAAAGUUGGAAGUUUCUAUUCUUGGAGGUUUCCAUUUUUGUGAGUUUCUAUUCUCGGCUUUGGGCUUUUGGAUGACCCAUCCUUACUUCUUGGACCUAUGCCGCACCUAAACCCUAACCUUAGUCCACUUAAUCAGCCGCACCUAGGCCUUGUUCACAUGCAAAAAUCUGAUUAGUUACCCUAAGCCCAAUGCCGCACCUUUCCAUCCUAGAAGCCCUAUUUUACAAACCUUAACCCUAGCCCAUUGUUUAAUCUGAUUUGUUAGGGUUUCUAAGUGCAUAUAUAUUUAGUUUCUACACCUAGCCGCACCAGCUCCCAUUCUACAAAUCAGAAAUCGUCUAAACCCUAUUCCCACACCUUGCCGCAGCCACCUUCAUCCAUUCCAGCCACUUCCCAUCCUUGCCGCAGCCUUCAUCCACCUCCAUACACCAUUCUACACCUCUAGCCACCAUCCUACACCUCCAUACACCAUCCCCACUCCUUGCCGCACCACCAUACCAUCCUAAUUCCCUUCUAAAACCAAAAUCACAUCCAAAAACACCCAAAACCCUCUCUGCCGCAGCAAGGAGAGAGGAGCUUGAAGUCAGAAAUUCAAAGUGGAAUUCUUGGGCGUUUUAGGUGUAAUCUUUCUACGUCUUCGAUGUUUCAAUUCAAUAAACUUAUUGUUGUGAGUAUGAGGAACUAAACCCCCUUAGUUGGGGGGUAAUUCGAAACCAUGUACAUGCUUGCAAUUUGAUUCGAUUUCAUUCAGUUGUUAUUUCAUAAGUUGUGGAUUCAAUUCGUUCAUCUAUUUGAUUGAUAACGUAUUUGUGUAUGUUGAUUGAGAGUGCACGCUUAGUUUUCAUGCAUGAAUAUGAUGCUAGAUUAUGAGGGAGUUUCACCUAAUAGUUACAAUCUUAUAAUCACAAGUAGUGAAGAUCGCUUGAAAACGAUCGCGUUGAAUGAAUUCUUAGUAUAAGUUUCAUGCAAUUCAUAGUAACGAAUGCUUCGUCAAUGCUUAUGUUUUUCAUAGAACGUAAUGAUUCUUGCUUGUUUCUCUAUUAUGCAAUUCAUGUAGGGAACUUGUAGGGAAUGUUUUGGGUUGUCGUAUGCAAUCAUCCAACUUAAUAACUUAUGGAAAAACUGAGGGUUAAUUAGUGCAAUUCACGGUUAAUUUGGGGCGUUGAGUAUUCAUAAUUCAUUGGAAGAACAACUGAAAAUCGUUUUGUUUGCAAGUGUGACAUGUGUGGAGAAGAACCUCCUAACUAGCCUUUUAACCAUCUAUUUCACCAAAAUCGUUUUUGCAAUCUGUGCUAGUUAAAGUUUCUGUUUUUGUGUUAAAUUUUCGUCCAAAACAAACCCCCAUUAUUUUAGAGUCUUAGAUUAGUUAGAAAGUGUUUUGAUUUGUGUUUCUAAGUGUUUUGAUUCAAGUUUUCAUCCAAUUUCGUCCAAAUUAGUGUAGGUGCUCAAAACUGCCCAGAAAGUGGUUUUUAGGCAGUUUUGAGUCUUUUAGUUGCUGUUUUGAGUUCUAGGGUUAUUUAAGUGUUUUAAACUUUAGUUUUGCAUUCUUUGAGUCUAGUUUAGUGUUUUAAACUUUGUUUUUGAGUUUUUAAGUCAGUUUCCAAGUGUUUAGCAAGCCCUCCUAAUCCCCGGUCUAGAACGAUCCCUACUUACAUCUUUACUACAAUUUGACAAAAAGAGGGUUUAAUUUGUGUGCUUAUCUAUUUCGCAUCAUAAACCACAUUCACGAUUCAUGAAAUCAUAACUGGAGGUAAUCAAAUCAUAUAAAACAUAUGAUCAUGGCUUUGAAUUCCCCUCUAACUAUAAAGAAAUUAGUUCCUCAUGUUCGCAAAUAAACAAAGAUAAAUAAAUUUAAACAUUGACAUAAAGAUAGAAAACACCUAGAAUCGCUCCAACAAUCCAAGAUCCUUGAAUGGCAUGCACGGCUCCAGAUUCCUUCCUUCUUCUCCUUGCAAACUCACGGCACAAUGAGGGAUUUAUGGUGAAUAGUGUAGUGAAUUGUGGUAGAGGGUGGUGAGUGAAAGGGUGCGGCAUAGGCUUGUAUUUAUAGGCUGAAAAUCCCAUCUCCUAGGUAGCCAAGGACAAGGUUUUAAAGGCCUAAACUGCAUAGGAUAAUAACAUACAAUCCUACAAGGAAAACAAGUCAAAAACCCAAAAGGAAUGGGAGAUAAUGUGCGGCACAAAGAGUGUGAAAGGAUAAGGCUUCUAGAAACCAAAUCCCAAAGGAAAUGGGUGAAAACUCACGGCAAAAGGAUAGUUUCUAGAAAGAAAUACAAGGCAGAUUUUUAGGCUUCUAGAAAGGCUCCUAGGCGCCAUUUUUGUAGGAUAAGAUUAGGUCUUCUAGAAAUCCCAUUUUAAGCAUCCUAAUCUAGUUAGAAACCCUCCUAAGUGGCUGAGAUGUGGAUAGUUUAGGAUUAGGAUAAGAUAGGAUAGGAUAAGGUUUGUUUGGAUAAGAUAAGCUAAGAUAAGGUUAUGGAUGAGGUUUUGGAUAAGAUCCUUAUCUUGAGCUGAUUCUUUGACUUUAACUCUUCUUCUUCAUGUAGGAAUACUUGCUUGAGUAGGAAACUUCAUUCGUCUAGGAAUCCUUCUUCAUUUAGGAAUCCUUCACUUUAGCCCUUUCCUACUUCAACUAGGAAACUUUGUAUCUUCAAUUCUUCAACUUCAAAACACAUUCCUAGCUUCAUCAAUCCUUCAAAUUCGUCCAUCCUUUGUGUUUCAUGUGCAUGAACUUCAUUCUAGCCCAAUUUUGCUCCUAAUUGCAUCCUUUUGCUCACUUUGUCUCUAAAACCUGAAAACACAUGAAAAUAGCUUAAAAAUACUAACUUAACUAAGAAAACACAACAUAAAUGCAUAAGAACUAACUAACUAAGGCGCAUAAAUAUGCUCCUAUCAUUGCCGUGGGGGUCCUCUUUGGCCAACGCCUUCGUAUUGUUGAGCGUUCAAUGCUCGAUUAGCAAUCAUGAUCUUGGCAGCCAUGGGUGUUUUGUGAUGCGAAAUAUAUAAGCACACAAAUUAAACCCUCUUUUUGUCAAAUUGUAGCAAAGAUGUAAGUAGGGAUCGUUUUAGACCGGGGAUUAGGAGGGAUUUAGGAUGGUAUGGUGGUGCGGCAAGGGGUAUGGAUGGUGUAUGGAGGUGUAGAAUGGUGGCUGGAGGUGUAGACUGGUUGCGGCAAGGAGUGGGGAGUGGCUGGUUUGGAUGGAGGAGUGGCGGCUAGGGGUUCUAAGGAUGAUGGUGGCUGCGGCAAGGUGGGGAAAUAAGGUUGGAAUAAUUUCUGAAUUGUGUGUAGAGAUCAUCUGUGCGGCUAGGUGUAGAAAUAUAUAUAUAGGCACUUAAAAACCCUAACAAAUCAGAUUAGGGUUUCUAGAAACCCAAAUCCACCAGAAAAAUAGGUUAAACAAUCAGAAAUUUGGUGAGAAAAGGGCCUAGGGUGCGGCAAUUAAGUGGGCUAGGGUUAGGGCUUCUAGAAAGCCUUGCAAGGCAAGGAAAUAGGUGUUCUAGAAGGGGAAAGGUGCGGCCCAAACCCUAGGGGAGAUAGAUUAAGGUUUAACUUGGCAGAAAUUAAAUGAUUAGGCCCUAGGGUGCGGCAUAGGCUUAGGAUCCACAAGGAAUUAGGGUUUAGGUCAUCUCAAAGCCCAAAGCCAAGAAUAGAAACUCACGAAAAUGGAAACCUCCAAGAAUAGAAACUUCCAACUUUAGAAACUUUGGUUGCCAAUUCCGACUUCUUUGUUCUUCACUUUUAUUUCUUCAUUUCUUAAGCUCCUUUGACCUUCAAACUCGUCCAUUCCUCGUGCUCCAUUAGCAUACACAACAUUCCGGCUCAAUUUUGCUCCAAAAAGCUCCAAAUUGCAUCAUUUCAUGUAAUAUGUCCUUUAAACCUGAAAACACAUGAAAGUAGCUUAAAAGACUACUUUAACGAAGAGAACAUAACGAAAAUGCAUAAAAACUAGCUAACUAAGGCGCAUAAAUAUGCUCCUAUCAUUUUGUCCACCAAUGCUCCACCCGCCGAGGCAUCGAGCAUUUGACGUUCAAGUGGUAAGAGCCCCUCGUAAAAGUAUUGUAGAAGUAACUCCUCCUUCAUCUGAUGCUGUGGACAAGAAGCAACAAGUGAUUUAAAACGUUCAUAAUAAGUAGGAAAACACUCACCUUCUUCUUGCUGAAUACCACUAAUCUUUUUACGUAGGAGAAUGAUUCGAGAAGUUGGGAAAAACUUCUCCAAAAACGCCCUCUUCAUACUCUCCCAAGAUGUGACAGUUCCGGGAGCUAACUCGUACAACCAAUCUUUGGCUUUAUCCAUUAAAGAGAAUGGAAAAGCCUUCAUCUUCAAAAUACUUCCGUCGACGUUAACCGGAGUCAUGCUUGAACAAACCACUUCAAAUUCUUUUAAAUGCUUGUUCGGAUCCUCCAUGGACAGCCCAUGGUAUUUUGGAAUGUGGUGGAGCAAACUUGACUUUAACUCGAACUCUUCGGUCUUACCUUGUGCAGCCGUGGGAUAUUGGAUACACAAAGGUGUGGCAUUAUCUAAUCCCGAAGCGGCGAGCUCCUUGAGUGUUCGGUUGUCCAUGGCCAUGUCUUGCACUACUUCUCCCACUUAUGCCGUGGGUAUCUCCUCCUCUUCUGGAACUUGUUCUUCAAGGUCAGGUUCCGGGCUAAAUGGGUUGGACUCUUGUUGGUUCCUCCUUCGUCUCAAAGUUCUCUCAAAAUCGUCGUCAAAGUCCAAAAUAUGCUCACGAACAGGGUGGGAACUUCGAGUCAUGCACUAUUACCUUAAAAACAAAGAAACAAAACAAGGUCAGAAACUUCAACAAAAUAAAUGAAUGAAAAGAAACAAUCAAAGGGAUUAGCAAAGUUGCUAAUCCCCGGCAACGGCGCCAAAAAUUUGAUGCGAAAAUAUAAGCACACAAAUUAAACCCUCUUUUUAUCAAAUGUAGUAAAGUAUGUAAGUAGGGAUCGUUCUAGGCUGGGGAUUAGGAGGGAUUGCUAAAUCACUUGGAAACUGACUUGAAAACGUAAAAACAAAGUUUAAAACACUAAACUAGACUCAAAGAAUGCGAAACUAUACUUUAAAAUACUAAGAUAAACAAAAAGAUUCAAAACAGCAACCAAAGACUCAAAACUGCCUUAAAAACACUUUCUGGGCAGUUUUGGGACUCUAACACAAACUUGGACGAAUUUUGGUUUUCUAAUGAACUAAAACACUUAAAAACAUAAUCUAAGACAAGUUCUAAUUAAUAUGACUCAAAGAAAAAAGAUGGGGUUGAUUUUGGACGAAAAUAAUUAAAUUAAGACAAGAACAAAGUAAACAGAUUUUUAGACAAAUUUGGGUGAAUCAAAACACUUAAAAACACAAACUAAAGUGAUUACUAACUAAUCUAACACUUUGAAAUAAAUGGGAGAUUGGUUCUUGACGAAUUUGAAAACAAAACAAACUUUGUAAAACAAAACAGAUUGUAAAUGAAUUUGAAUGAAACUUAUGGAUGCAAGGCUAGCUAGGAGGUUCUUCUCCACACAUGUCACACUUGCAUACAAGCGAUUUCCAGUUGCUUUUCGAUAAACUACGAAUACUCAACGCCCCAAAUUAAUCGUGAAUUGCACUAAUUAACCCUCAGUUUUUCCACAAGUUAUUGGGUUGGAUGAUUGCAUACGACAACCCAAAACAUUCCCUACAAGUUCCCUACAAGUUCCCUACAUGAAUUGCAUAAUAGAGAUACAAGCAAGAAUCAUUAAGUUCUAUGAAAAACAUAAGCAUUGACGAGGCACUCGUUACUAUGAUUUGCAUGAAACUUAUGCCAAGAAUUUACUUAACGUGAUUGUGACUAGCAACCUUCACUACUUGUGAAUAUAAGUUCAUAACGAUUAGGUGAAACUCCCUUAUAUUCUAGCGUCAAAUUCAUGCAUGAAAAUUAAGCGUGCACUCUCAACCAACAUACACAAAUCAGUUUUUAUACGAACGGAUAAGUAAAUUGAAUUCACAACUUAUGAAUCACAACUGGAUGUAAUCAAAUCAUAUUGCAAGCAUGAACAUAGUUUCGAAUUACCCCCUAACUAAGAGGGGUUUAGUUCCUCAUACUCACAAAGCAAAGAUGCAUAAAUUUAGACAUUAAAAAACAAAGAUAGAAAACACCAAGAAACGCUCCAACACUCCCAAGGCUUGGGCUUAGGCACGGCACCAGGUUUUUUCUUCUUUCUCCUUCCUUGCAAGCUGCGGCACUAGAGGUUUUGGACAGGUUUUGGGUGGUUUUUAUGGUGUAGAAUGGAUGGGGAAUGGUAUGGAAAUGUUUAGGGUUGAUGGGUGGUAUAUUGGAAACACCUAGAAACGCUCCAACACUCCCAAUGCUUGGGCUUAGGCACGGCACCAGGUUUCUUCUUCUUUCUCCUUCCUUGCAAGAUGAUGCACUAGAUGUUUUGGACAGGUUUUGGGUGGUUUUUAUGGUGUAGAAUGAAUGGGGAAUGGUAUGGAAAUGUUUAGGGUUGAUGGGUGGUGUGGCUAGGGGUGAUUUUUGGCUGAAUUUGGAGAGAAUGGUGGUGGAAAACUCACGGCAAGGAGCAAGGAUAAAAUCUGUUAUGGUUGAUGAAUAUGGGAGGUGGUAUUUAUAGGCUUGAGAGAGGACCACUCCAUUUCCUUUGCAUGUGCAGCUUGUGUGGAUGUGAGUUGUCAUGUUUCCCCUUUACAUUUACACACACAUGCUUCAUCAUUUCAAUCACAAACACACCAUAAUUUCUGCCCAUGCCGUGUGCUCCAUGUGCUUGCUGCUGCCAUGUUCUUUUCUUUGCCAUGUGUUUGCUGCCAUGUUCUUUGCUUUACCAUUACACUUGCACACACACAUGUUCUUUGCAUCAUUUCAACCACAAAACACAAACAUUUUCUGCCAUGUUUCUCCUUUACAUUUACACACACAUGCUUCAUCAUUUCAACCACAAAACACACCAUAAUUUCUGCCAUGCCGUGUGCUCCCAUGUGUGUGCUGCAACAUUCUUUUCUUUGCCAUGUGUUUGCUGCAACAAGGGGUUUAUUUAAAGGGAUAAAGGAAAUAAAACCCUAGGUUAACUAGGUAAACAGAAAUUAAGUCUAAAGCUUCUACAAUUUAGGGAAACAAAUCAGAAAUUUAAAGGAAAUAAGCUAAAAGGUGUGGCAAGGCUUUAAAGUAGAUUAGGAAAGUGUUUAAAUGCAAGAUUUAGGAAAGAAUGACUCUUCCUUGCACGACAAGGAAGAGUAAUGGCAAGGGUGGAGCACACGGCUGGUUGCUUAUUUUUGAACACUUCGUUCUUUAUUUGUCUUGAAUCCAAUUCUUCACAUCAUCAUUCAAUCCUAAGCUCAUUUGAUCUUCAAUUUCGUCCAUCUUCUUACCUCCAAGCAUAUGCAAUCCAUUUGAUGCACAAAAACUGCUCCAAACGACUCCAAAAUGCACAUGUAUGCAUACUUUGUCCUUAAAACCUGAAAACACAUAAAAGUGACUUUAAACACUAAAAUAACUAAAGAAACACAACGUAAAUGUACGAGAACAACCUAAUUAAGUCGCAUAAAAAUGCUCCUAUCAGCCGCACAAAAGCAUCCUUUUUUUCCUAUUUUCUGAUCUUAAAACCACAUUCCCUUUUAUUCAAGCAACCAGCUGCACAUUUCCCCUCUUUCUUACCUAUUUUCUGACCCAAAAUUACAUUCCCCUUUGUUCUAAAGCCUUGCCAUACAAGGGGAUAGGAUUCUUACCUAUUUUGUGUCUCAAAACACAUUCCUAAAUCUGUCCUACAAUUUCUGCCGAAUUUCCCCUUCCUUUUCUCUUUAAUUCUUGCACCUUACUAAGGAAAACAACAUAAAUGCACAAGAACAAGCUAACUAAGUUGCAUAAAUAUACUCCUAUCACAUACAAGGGGAUAGGAUUCUUACAUAUUUUGUGCCUCAAAACACAUUCCUAAAUCUGCCCUACAAUCUUUGCCGAAUUUCCCUUUCCUUUUCUCUUUAAUUCUUGCACCUUACUUGCCUAUUUUCCAUUGAUUUCUGACUUUUAAUUAUAGGACAAAAUAGCUAAGUUAUUUCUUUCCCUAAAACUCAUAAAAACCGUGCCCUAGCCCUAUAUAAAAACCCCUUUGCCGCAAACUCUGGGGGGGCUCUUCUAAUCAGCCAUUCCACACUCCAUCCUUCACCAUAACCUACCUACAUCCAUCCACCACCACAAUUCACCACAAAUCAUCACCAAACACCCUUGUGUCGCAGCAAAGAAGAAAGAAGGAGACCCUUGGACGUGCUUGCCAUUCAAGACGUUGGAUUGUUGGAGCGUUUCUAGGUGUUUUCAUUCUUUGUUUUCAAUGUCUAAAUUUAUGUAUCUUUGUUUUGCGUUUAUGAGGAACUAAGCCCUUCUUGGCUAGGGGGCUAUUCAAUACCAUGAUUAUACUUGCAUUAUGAAUUGAUUACCUUCAGUUGUUAUUUCAUAAGUUGUGAAUUCAAUUUGCUUAACCGUUUGAUCGAUAACUUAUUCUUGUAUGUUUAUUAAGAGUGCACACUUAGUUUUCAUGCAAGGAUUUGAAGCUAAAAUAUAAGGGAGUUUCACCUAAUAGUUACAAGCUUAUAUUUGCAAGUAGUGGAGGUCGCUUAUAAACGAUCGUGUUAAGUGAAUUCUUGGCAAAAGUUUCAUGCUUUUCAUAGUUACAAUUGCUUUGUCAAUGCUUAUAGUUUUCAUGAAACUUAAUGAUCUUUGAUUGUACCUUUAUUGUGCUUUUCACGUAGGGGACUUUUAGAGAAUGCUUUGAAUUGUUGUAUGUGCUUUCCCAUCCAAUUCAUUAACUUAAGGAGAACUUGAAGGUUAAAAAAGUGCUGUCACAGUUAACCUGGAGUAUUGAGUUUCAUGACUUAUUGAGAGAAGCAAUUGGAAAUCAAUUUGAAUGCAAGUGUGUCAUGUGUGGAGAAGAACUCUCUAGCUAGCCCAUCAUCCAUAGUUUGAUCCAAAUUCGUCUAGAAUCUGUUUUCAAUUUACAAUCUGUUUUGCAAGUUUAAUUUCGUCCAAAAUCAAAACCCCCUUGACUUUAUUGAGUCAUAUUAGUUAGAAAGUACUUUAGUUUGUGUUUUUAAGUGUUUUGGUUCAAGUUAUAACUCAAUUUCGUCCAAAUUAGUGUUAGAGUUCAAAACUGCCCAGAAAGUGUUUUAAAGCAGUUUUGAGUGUUUUUGUGCUGUUUUGAGUCUUUUGGUUUGUUUUAGUGUUUUAAAAUUUAGUUUUGCAUUCUUUGAGUCUUGUUAAGUGUUUGUAACUUGUUUUUAGUUAUUUGAGUCAGUUUAGAAGUGUAUUAGCAAUCCCUCCUAAUCCCCGGUUUAAGAACGAUCCCUACUUAUCCAUACUACAAUUGUCAACAAGAGGGUUUAAUUUGUGUGUUUAGUUAUUUUACCAUCAACAUGGCUUGCCAUAGACUAGCCGAAAUGGAGACAUCCCUAGGGGUGUUUUGUAGGCAGUUCGGUACGCCCAUAAUGCAUCGUCUAAACACAUGCUCCAAUCCUUUUGGUUUGGCCCCACAGUCUUUUCCAAGAUUUUCUUGAUUUCGCGAUUUGAAACUUCGGCUUGGCCACUUGUUUGAUGGUGAUAAGGUGUUGAAACCCUAUGCUUGACAUUGUACUUCUUAAAGAGUGCCUCAAUGGUCCGAUUGCAGAAAUGUGAGCCUCCAUCACUUAUGAACACCCGCGGCAUCCCAAAUCUAGAGAAAAUGUUAGUCUUGAUGAAAUCUGAAACCACUCUAGAAUCGUUAGUACGGGUAGCUUUUGCUUCUACCCAUUUGGAAACAUAAUCAACCGCAAGCAAAAUAUAAGUGAAACCAAAUGAAGAAGGAAAGGGACCCAUGAAAUCAAUACCCCAAACAUCAAAAAUUUCAACAUUAAAGAUAGGGGUUUGCGGCAUUUGGUCCUUAGCACCAAUGGUACCUGUCCUUUGACAUCUAUCACAUGUUAAGCAAAACAUUCUAGCAUCUUUAAACAAUGUAGGCCAAUAAAAACCACAUUCUAACACCUUGAGGGAUGUUCUUUGAUUGCCAAAAUGACCCCCACAUGCAUAAGAAUGACAAAAGGCUAGAAUGGAGUUAAAUUCAGAAUUUGGCACACAUCAUCUAACAAUCUGAUCUGGGCAGUACUUCCACACAUAUGGGUCAUCCCAAACAUAAAAACGUGCAUGAUGUUUAAGUUUAUCACGUUGGGACUUGUUUAAGGUGUGAGGAACUUGCUUAGACACCAAAUAAUUGACCAAAUCGGCAUACCAAGGGGUACUUACCUCAAUGGACAGAAGUUGCUCAUCCGGAAACAUUUCUGAAUGGGAAUGGGCUCUUCCUCACGCACCAACCUGCUUAGGUGGUCGGCAACCACAUUGUCACUUCCCUUUUUGUCCUUAAUUUCGAUAUCAAACUCUUGAAGUAGGAGCAUCCAACGAAUGAGUCGAGGUUUAGCUUCUUUCUUUGUGAACAAGUACUUCAAGGCUGCAUGGUUGGUGCGUAAAUAUAUAAGCACACAAAUUAAACCCUCUUGUUGACAAUUGUAGUAUGAAUAAGUAGGGAUCGUUCUAGACCGGGGAUUAGGAGGGAUUGCUAAACACUUGAAAACUGACUUAGAAACGUAAAAACAAAGUUUAAAACACUAGAUUAGACUCAAAGAAUGCAAAACUAAAGUUUAAAACACUAAAACAAACCAAAAACUCAAAACAGCUACCAAAAGACUCAAAACUGCCUUAAAAACACUUUCUGGGCAGUUUUGAGCACAAAGCACCAAAUUGGACGAAUUUGGGUUUUAACUUGUAACAAAACACUUAAAAACAUAAACCAAAACACUUUCUAACUAAUCUAGGACUUCAAAAUAAAUGGGGAUUUGAUUUGGACGAAAAUAAACUAACAAACAAAACAGAUUGCAAAGUAAAAACAGAUUUGAAAACGAUUUUGGGGUUUUAAAUGGAUGAUGGAUUAGUUAGAGGCUCCUUCUCCACACAUGACAAGUAUGCAAACGACUCGAUUUCCAGUUAUUCCUUCAUUGAAUUAUGAAUGACAAUGCCCCAAAUUAACCGUGACAUCACUAGUUAAUUCUCAAGUUUUCCUUGUGUUAUUGGAUUGGAUGACAUCAUUCGACAACCCAAAGCAUUCCUCAAAAAUUCCCUACAUGACAUCAUAAUAAAGAUACAAUCAAAGAUCAUUACGUUCAAUGAAAACUAUAAGCAUUGACAAAGCACUUGCAACUAUGACAUCAUGUCACUCGUGCUAGGAAUUGGAGUUAACGCGAUCGUGACUAGCGACCUUUACUACAUAUGAAUAUAAGUGUGUGACGAUUAUGUGAAACAACCUUAUAUUCUAGCAUCAUAUUCACGCAAGCCAAUUAAGUGUCGACCCCUAAUUAACAAACACAAAUAAGUUAUUACUCGCACAGUUAAGCCAAUUGCAUUCACGAUUCAAGAACUCAUAACUGGAAUUUAUCAAAUCAAAUUGCACACAUAGUCAUGGUUUCGAAAUCACCUCUAACCAAAUAGGGUUUAGUUCCUCAUAAUCGCAACAUAAAGAUUAUUAAACUUAAACAUUGAAAACAAAAGAUAGAUUACACCUAGAAAUGCUCCAACAAUCCAACGUCUUGAAUGGCAAGCACGUCCAAGGGUGUUUGGUGAUGAUUUGUGGUGAAUUAUGGUGGUGGAUGGAUGUAGGUAGGUUAUGGUGAAGGGUGGAGUGCUUAGAAUGGUCAGCAAGGACCUUUAUUUAUAGGGGAAGGAAGGGCUACGAAUUUGAAGUGGUUUUAGGGAAGGAUUUAUGUAGGAAAAGGAAUGUGAUUUUUGGUCAAAAAAUAGGCAAGAAAGGUGCAGGAAUUAAAGAGAAAAGGAAGGGAAAUUCGGCAGAAAUUGUAGGGCAGAUUUAGGAAUGUGUUUUGGGUCAGAAAAUAGGUAAGAAAGAGGGGAAAGGUGCGGCAAUGCCUAGAACUAAAGGGGAAUGUGAAUUAAAAUCAGAAAAUAGGAAAGGAGAGGAUCCCUUGUGCGGCAAGGACUUUAGGGAAGGUUUAGGGCUUCUAGAACAACCAAUUAAGUGCCCUAACAUGUUUUGGAAUCCCUUUGUGGCUGGAACAUAGAUGAGGAAAGAUUAGGAAACUUCCAAGCCAAGAAUAGAAACUUCCAACUUUAGAAACUUUGGCUUCCAAUUUUGAACUCUUCAUUCUUUAUUUGUCUUGAAUCCAAUUCUUCACAUCUUCAUUCAAUCCUACGCUCAUUUGAUCUUCAAUUUCUUCCAUUUUCUUAGCUCCACGCAUGUGCAAUCCAUUUGAUGUCCAAAACUGCUCCAAAAAGCUCCAAAAUGCAUCUUUUUGCAUACUUUGUCCUUAAAACCUGAAAUUGCACGAAAAUGACUUUAAACGCUAAAAUAACUAAGGAAAACAACAUAAAUGCACAAGAACAAGCUAACUAAGUUGCAUAAAUAUGCUCCUAUCAAUGGUCAGUGAAAACAAUGACUUUAGUGCCAAUUAAAUACGAUAUAAACUUAUCUAAUGCAAAGACAACAGCCAAGAGCUCUUUCUCUGUUGUGGAAUAAUUUAAUUGUGUAUCAUUUAAGGUACGAGAAGCAUAAUAAAUAACAUGUGGCAGCUUGUUUUUCCUUUGACCCAAAACAGCCCCAAUUGCAUAAUCCGAUGCAUCACACAUGAUCUCAAAGGGAAUGCUCCAAUGUGGUGGAGUGAUGAUUGGUGCCGAAGUGAGUAGGUCCUUGAGAUGGUUGAAUGCUUGCUCACACGCCUCGUUGAACUCAAACGACACUUCCUUUUGUAGGAGACGGCAUAGAGGUUGUGCAAUCUUGGAAAAGUCCUUGAUAAAUCGUCGAUAGAAUCCUGCAUGACCAAGAAAAGAACGAACCUCUCUCACCGAAGUAGGAGAGGGUAAGUAGCGUACAAGAUCUAUUUUAGACAUAUCAACUUCAAUUCCUUUUUCAGAGAUUAUAUGACCCAAAACAAUACCUUGUUUUCAUGAAUGGUCAUCCAAGUAGAAUAGGCAAGGAGGAAGAAUAAGCCGAAUCUUCCAUCUCAAGCACAUAGAAAUCAACCAAAAAGAUCAAGUGAUUAACCUGCACUAAAACAUCCUCCAAAACUCCUUUUGGAUAGGCAUUAGAUCUAUCGGCUAAUUGAAUAAUUACCCCAUCAUUUUUCAGCUCACCUAAGUUCAUAGAUGUAUAAAUUGAAUAGGGCAUGACGUUAAUAGAUGCACCUAAGUCUGACAUGGCAUGUUCAAAGCGAGUAUUGCCUAUUGAUAGGAGCAUAUUUAUGCGCCUUAGUUAGCUAGUUCUUAUGCAUUUUUGUUAUGUUUUCUUUCUUAAAGUAGUCUUUUAAGCUACUUUCUUGUGUUUUCAGGUUUAGCGGACGUAUUACAUGAAAUGAUACAAUUUGGAGCUUUUGGAGCAAAAAGUGAGCUUGAAUUGAAAAGGACAUGCUUGGAACGCAAGGUUGGGAUGGAAUUGAAGAGUUGAAGAUUUGAGGUUUCCUACUUGAAGUAGGAAAGCUAAGCCUAAAAGUUUCCAUUUUGGGUCGAUCUUUCCUAAAUCGGAAUUGGCAACCAAAGUUUCUAAAAGUUGGAAGUUUCUAUUCUUGGCGUUGGGCUUUUAGAUGACCUAAACCCAAAUUUCCUUGUGGACCUUCAACCCAUGCCGAACCCUAGGGCCUAAUCAUCUAAAAUCUGCCAUGUUAAACCCUAGUCCAUUUCUCCUAAACCCAAGCCGCACAUUUCCACCUAGAAGCCCUAUUUUACAAACCCUAAACCCUAGUCCACUUAAGUGCCGCACCUAACCCUAGCCCAUUGUUAAAAAUCUGAUUUCAUUAGGGUUUCUAAGUGCCUAUAUAUACCACCCUUACACCCUAGCCGCAUACAUCUUCCCCUCUCCAAAAAAUCAGAAAACCAUCUCUCCUUUUCCCCACCUUUUGCCGCAGCCACCAUCACCCAAAAUCCAUCCAUUCCAGCCGCCACUCAUCCAUUCCAGCAACCUACCCCACUUUGCUGCACCACCAUACACCUCCCUUACCCUUUGCCGAACCACCAUAUCAUCCCAAAUCCAUCCCUAAACCGAAAUCACAUCCAAACAGCCCCUAAACCCUCACUGCCGCAGCAAGGAGAAGAAGAAAGAGGAGCUUUCUGUGCAGAUUUCAAAGUGGACUUCUUUGGCAUUUUAGGUGUAAUCUUUCUUAUGUCUUUGAUGUUUCAAUUCAAUAAACUUUGUGUUGUGAGUAUGAGGAACUAAACCCCCUUAGUUGGGGGGUAAUUCGAAACCAUGUACAUGCUUGCAAGAUGAUUUGAUUAUAUUCAGUUGUUAUUUCAUAAGUUGUGAAUUCAAUUCGUUCAUCUAUUUGAUUGAUAACUUAUUUGUGUAUGUUGAUUGAGAGUGCACGCUUAGUUUUCAUGCAUGAAUAUGAUGCUAGAUUAUGAGGGAGUUUCACCUAAUAGUUACAAUCUUAUAAUCACAAGUAGUGAAGAUCGCUUGAAAACGAUCGCGUUGAAUGAAUUCUUAGCAUAAGUUUCAUGCAAUUCAUAGUAACGAAUGCUUCGUCAAUGCUUAUGUUUUUCAUAAAACUUAAUGAUUCGUGCUUGUAUCUCUAUUAUGCAAUUCAUGUAGGGAACUUGUAGGGAAUGUUUUGGGUUGUCGUAUGCAAUCAUCCAACUUGAUAAAUUCUGGAAAAACUGAGGGUUAAUUAGUGCAAUUCACGGUUAAUUCGGGGCAUUGAGUCUUUAUAAUUUAUUGGAGAACAACUGAAAAUCGUUUUGUUUGCAAGUGUGACAUGUGUGGAGAAGAACCUCCUAACUAGCCUUUUAUCCAUCUAUUUCACCAAAAUCGUUUUUACAAUCUGUGCUAGUUAAAGUUUCUGUUUUAUUUUAAUUUUCGUCAAAACAAAAUCCCCCUUUAUUUUAGAGUCCUAGAUUAGUUAGAAAGUGUUUUGAUUUGUGUUUCUAAGUGUUUUGAUUCAAGUUUUCAUCCAAUUUCGUCCAAAUUAGUGUAGGUGCUCAAAACUGCCCAGAAAGUGGUUUUUAGGCAGUUUUGAGCCUUCUAGUUGCUGUUUUGAGUUCUAGGGUUGUUUAAGUGUUUUAAACUUUAGUUUUGCAUUCUUUGAGUCUAGUUUAGUGUUUUAACUUUGUUUUUGAGUUUUUAAGUUUGUUUCCAAGUGUUUAGCAAUCCCUCCUAAUCCCCGGUCUAGAACGAUCCCUACUUACAUCUUUGCUACAAUUUGACAAAAAGAGGGUUUAAUUUGUGUGUCAAGUUAAUUUUCACAUCACCUAUAACACAAGGAAUUGUAAAACUACCCGGAUCUUUACAUUUGGGGGCACUUUACGUUUGAUGCGAAAAUUAACUUAACACACAAAUUAAAACCUCUUGUUGUCAAAUUGUAGUAUAAAUGCAAGUAGGGAUCGUUCUAAGCCGGGGAUUAGGAGGGAUUGCUAACACACUUGAAACUGACUUAAAUAUGUGAAAACAAACUUAAAAGUAAGAAAACAAAGUCACAAGACUCAAAAUAGAUUAUAGACUCAAAACUGCCUAAAAACAACUCUAAGGCAGUUUCUGCCACUAACACAAAGUUUGGACGAAAAUUGAUUUUAUCUUGACUUAAAACACUUAAAAACACAAUCUAAAACAAGUACUAACUAAUAUGACUUAAUAAAAUAAAGGGGAUUUUGGUUUUGGACGAAAGUAAGGAAAACAAAGCAAGAACAAUUUAAACAGAUUCUUAGACAAAUUUAGGUGAAUUGAUGGGUGAUGGGUUAAACUAUGGAUGAUGGGCUAGCUAGAGGGUUCUUCUCCACACAUGACAUACUUACACAUAAACCAAUUUUCAGUUGUUCUUUCGAUCAAUCAUGAAACUCAACACCCCAGGUUAAUUAAGUCCGCUUAAAUUAACCUUCAAGUUCUCCUUAAGUUAUUGAAUUGGAUGGGAAAACGCAUACAACAAUUCAAGCAUUCUUCAAAAGUCCUUUACGUGAACAGCACAAUAAAGAUACAAUCAAAGAUCAUUACGCAUCAUGAAAACUAUAAGUAUUGACGAGGCAUUCGUUACUAUGAUGAGCAUGAAACUCCUACCAAGAAUUCAUUUAACGUGAUCGUUUAUAAGCGACCUCCACUACUUGUGAAUAUAAAUUUGUAACUAUUAUGUGAAACUCCUUUAUACUCUAGCAUCAUAUUCAUGCAUGCAAACUAAGUGUGCACUUUUAAUAAACAUACACGAAUAAGUUAUCAAUCAAGCAGUUAAACAAAUUGAAUUCACAACUGAAGGUAAUCAAAUCAUAUUGCAAGUAUGAACACGGUUUCGAAUUCCCCCUAGCUAAGGGGGGUUUAGUUCCUCAUACUUACAAAGCAAAGAUAAACAAAUUUAGACAUUGAAAAAGAAAGAAAACACCUAAAUGAUAGGAGCAUAUUUAUGCGCCUUAGUUAGCUAGUUCUUAUGCAUUUUCGUUAUGUUUUCUUCGUUAAAGUAGUCUUUUAAGCUACUUUCAUGUGUUUUCAGGUUUAAAGGACAUAUUACAUGAAAUGAUGCAAUUUGGAGCUUUUGGAAUGUAGCAGGUGAGCUUGGAUUGAAAAGGACAUGCUUGGAACACAAGGUUGGGAUGAAAUUGAAGAGUUGAAGAUUUGAGGUUUCCUACUUGAAGUAGGAAAGCUAAGCCUAAAAGUUUCCAUUUUGGGUUGAUCUUUCCUAAACCGGAAUGGCCUUACGUUUGAGCAACAUUAAAAGGUUUCGAAGCGUUGGAAGACACAAAGAAAGGUGUUAGAAUAUUUUCUCAUCCUUGCCGUGGGUUAGGGCUUAGUUUCUCUUGGUUUUGGGCUUUUUAGAAGCCCUAUCCACAUUCCCACUAUCCAGCCGCACCUUUCCCCUUCUACAACACCUAUUUCCUUGCCUUGCAAGGCUUUCUAGAAGCCCUAACCCUAGCCCACUUAAUUGCCGCACCCUAGGCCCUUUUCUCACUAAAAUUCUGAUUGUUUAACCUAUUUUUCUGGUGGAUUUGGGUUUCUAAAAACCCUAAUCUGAUUUGCUAGGGUUUUUAAGUGCCUAUAUAUAUAUUUCCACACACUUUGCCGAGGGGAUCAUUCCUACACAAUUCAGAAAUUCAUCCAACCCUAUUUCCCCACCUUGCCGCAGCCACCAUCACCCUAAUACCUCUUAGCCGCCACUUCUCCAUCAAACCAGCCACUCCCCACUCCUUGCCGCAACCAUUCUACACUUCCAGCCACCAUUCUACACCUCCAUACACCAUUCUACACCUCCAUACACCAUCUAACUCCCUUCUAAAACCAAAAUCACAUCCAAAAAUCCCCUAAACCCUCUCUGCCGCAGCAAGGAGAAGAAGAAAGAGGAGCUUGACGUGCAGAAAUUCAAAGUGGAAGUGUUGGGCGUUUUAGGUGUAAUCUUUCUUAUGUCUUCGAUGUUUAAAUUCAAUAAACUUUGUGUUGUGAGUAUGAGAAACUAAACCCCCUUAGUUGGGGGGUAAUUCGAAACCAUGUACAUGCUUGCAAUAUGAUUUGAUUACAUUCAGUUGUUAUUUCAUAAGUUGUGGAUUCAAUUCGUUCAUCUAUUUGAUUGAUAACUUAUUUGUGUAUGUUGAUUGAGAGUGCACGCUUAGUUUUCAUGCAUGAAUAUGAUGCUAGAUUAUGAGGGAGUUUCACCUAAUAGUUACAAUCUUAUAAUCGCAAGUAGUGAAGGUCGCUUGAAAACGAUCGCGUUGAAUGAAUUCUUAGCAUAAGUUUCAUGCAAUUCAUAGUAACAAAUGCUUCGUCAAUGCUUAUGUUUUUCAUAGAACGUAAUGAUUCUUGCUUGUAUCUCUAUUAUGCAAUUCAUGUAGGGAACGUGUAGGGAAUGUUUUGGGUUGUCGUAUGCAAUCAUCCAACUUAAUAACUUGUGGAAAAACUGAGGGUUAAUUAGUGCAAUUCACGGUUAAUAUGGGGCGUUGAGUAUUUAUAAUUUAUUGGAAGAACAACUGAAAAUCGUUUCGUUUGCAAGUGUGACAUGUGUGGAGAAGAACCUCCUAACUAGCCUUUUAUCCAUCCUUUUCAUCCAAAAACGUUUUUACAAUCUGUUUGUUUUAAAGUUUCUGUUUUGUUUUCAAUUUUCGUCCAAAACAAAUCCCCCUUUAUUUUGAAGUCUUAGAUUAGUUAGUAGGUGUUUGAUUUGUGUUUCUAAGUGUUUUGAUUCAAGUUUUCACCCAAAUUCGUCCAAGUUCGUGUUAGGUUCUCAAAACUGCCCAGAAAGUGGUUUUUAGGCAGUUUUGAGUCAUUAGGUUGCUGUUUUGAGU
Molecule: long non-coding RNA, 21453 nt
Filed under: Malus domestica (apple)
Lineage: Eukaryota; Viridiplantae; Streptophyta; Magnoliopsida; Rosales; Rosaceae
Description: long non-coding RNA (MDOM_LNC019624)
Source: RNAcentral